GUGCCAGCAGCCGCGGUUAAUACGGAGGGUGCAAGCGUUAAUCGGAAUUACUGGGCGUAAAGCGCACGCAGGCGGUUUGUUAAGUCAGAUGUGAAAUCCCCGGGCUCAACCUGGGAACUGCAUCUGAUACUGGCAAGCUUGAGUCUCGUAGAGGGGGGUAGAAUUCCAGGUGUAGCGGUGAAAUGCGUAGAGAUCUGGAGGAAUACCGGUGGCGAAGGCGGCCCCCUGGACGAAGACUGACGCUCAGGUGCGAAAGCGUGGGGAGCAAACAGGAUUAGAUACCCUGGUAGUCC
RNAcentral lists this ribosomal RNA (293 nucleotides) under uncultured microorganism. RNAcentral's name for it is "partial 16S ribosomal RNA". It matches the Rfam family "Bacterial small subunit ribosomal RNA", at positions 505 to 796 of the family's 1533-position model. The record is from RNAcentral.